UUCAAGUUCAGCCAAAGAGCAGGGGGAGUCUCCUGGAAUAAAGUUGAAUCAUAGAAACUUAAAACAAGAAUUGAGGGAAAUCUUAUCCAAGGAUGGGAUCCUCUUUAUUUGAAUGAAGUGUUCCUGAUACAUGUAUCAGGGUCCCUGAACCAGUGACAAUUUAUGACAAUCAAACAUCAAUAAGCCACCACCCACAUAAUGACAGCAACACUCCUUGAAAUAUGGGAUUACAACUAAAUAAGGGAUGAUCUACACAGACGGUGGAAAAAAGGAAGAACCCUGGAACAUGGUUGCUGCUGUUUCGUAUUAUUUAGAGUUAACAGAAUC
Molecule: long non-coding RNA, 327 nt
Organism: Lemur catta (Ring-tailed lemur)
Lineage: Eukaryota; Metazoa; Chordata; Mammalia; Primates; Lemuridae
Exons: 3
Source: RefSeq, a predicted model, not a curated record